RNAcentral lists this ribosomal RNA (776 nucleotides) under uncultured Neocallimastigales. RNAcentral's name for it is "partial large subunit ribosomal RNA". It matches the Rfam family "Eukaryotic large subunit ribosomal RNA", at positions 23 to 635 of the family's 3401-position model. Lineage: Eukaryota; Fungi; Neocallimastigomycota; Neocallimastigomycetes; Neocallimastigales. The record is from RNAcentral.
AGAGAUGUGUGAUGACGCAUAUCAAUAAGCGGAGGAAAAGAAACUAACAAGGAUUCCCUUAGUAACGGCGAGUGAAGCGGGAAGAGCUCAAAUUUGAAAUCUUCAAGGUUCUACCUUGACGAAUUGUAGUUUAUAGAAGUGUUUUCUGUUAGUGGAGUGGCAAAAGUUCUUUGGAAUAGGACAUCAUAGAGGGUGAGAAUCCCGUAUUUGGUCAUUCCUCCUAGCGUUGUGAUACACUUUCAACGAGUUGGAUUGUUUGGGAAUGCAGUCCAAAAUGGGUGGUAAAUUUCAUCUAAAGCUAAAUAUUGGCGAGAGACCGAUAGCGAACAAGUACCGUGAGGGAAAGGUGAAAAGAACUUUGAAAAGAGAGUUAAACAGUACGUGAAAUUGUCAAAAGGGAAGCGUUUGACACCAGUGUUGUUUUUCCGAAAAUCAAUUACGAAUGUUUUAUUUUUGAGAAGUUAUGACUUCAUCGGCUUGCUCCUUUCUUUACGAAACUUUCUUAAUGCACUUUUCGGUUAACAAGUCAACAUCAAUUUCUUUUGUUGUAAAAGGGUUACGAGGAAGGUGGCUUUCUUUUCGGAGAAAGUGUUUAUAGCCUUGUAGCCUCUGCAAUCGGAGAGAUUGAGGUCUGCAGCGUAGAUCCUUCGGGGUUAGAUACAUUUGUGCUAAGUUAUAGCCUUUCAUAGACAACUUGUUGACUAUGUUUAGUCUUGUAGCUUACUCGCUUAUGCUAUUUUACCUACGCUUAGGAUGUUGAAGAUGUAGCACAUCAU